UUUUUUUGAGUACUGUAGCCAGUUGGUUUGGUGUAAAUUAAGAGGAUUCAAAUUUGCCAACCAACACAAUAGUGUUGGUCAUGGAACCAUCAAGUAAGAAGCUGUCACGUGUAUCAAAACUUAACUAUAGUUAACCUUAGUUAGUAAUAAAAGAAAAUUGAUUUUUUUAUUUGUGUUUAUUAGUUUAUUACUCUCUCACCUAGACCUCGGCAACUACAGAUCUCUCUCUCCACCGAAAAAAGAACUCCAGACUCUCUCGUCCGUUGCUAUCUCGCUGCCGGAGAAGAAAGCCCCUUCUGUGGGAGCUAGCAUGGGAGGAAUGGGAGGCAUGGAUUACUAGAACUUCAGUAGUUGGAUUUGCUAAAGCCUCUGCUGCUAAUUGUCAAUCCUCUUUAAACGAACGCUUCGAAUCCCUUUUAGUUUUUCCUGACAGUAUUGUUGGAGGCCGAACAUGAAUGUAAUCAUAGUGAGAUGGGGUUCUAAUCUGUAGGAAGAAUGUAGUGCUAUUAAUUGGUCAGGCAAAAGAUUUUGUUCUCCCCACAUUAGACUUCACAAAGUUCAUAUUUCCAGAAAAUCUCAGUGUGAUUGGUGAACAAUGAUAGUACAAAAAUCUGUGGGAGAAUGAACAGGUAAAUUCCUCAAUUUCUUCUGUAUAACAAUCCUGUGUUUCUAAAUAAAUAAAAAAACAAAAAACUACAGACUCUCUCAUAGAGUCUGAGUGUGAGUCUGGGCAUUAUCUCUCUCCCACUCUCAAAGGCUGAACUUGUUCAAGGAGGAUCGACAACCUUUGAAGACCACCUUUGCUGGCACAACCACCAAAACCUUCCUAAGGUACGAUCCCACUUUCUCUUAGUUGUUUCAAAAUCUGGUUUCUGUGAAUUUUUAAAUCUUAUAUCUUCAAUUUUGAUAGUAUGAUUGAUUUUGGCUCAUCAACUUUGAAUUUCUUAUUGGGUCUGCAACUAUGAUGAGAACAUCAACUAUAAAUUGAAUGCUUGCAAAAUUUCUAUAGUUUCGUAUAGGUCUCCGAGAGAGGGAAAGGAUCAAGCUUUAUACUACUCAAAUUUGCCAGUGUGAAAAUCCGGAACUGAGGUGCUGAGGCUACUCAUUUCUUCAUCUGCGUUUAAUUUUAAAUCUGGGUUGAAGACGAAAAGUGGUUUAGUUAAGUAAAUAACUAAAUAUUAAAAAAUGAUUAUCAUUAGUAUUUAACCUUGAAAAGAGAUACUAAAUUAACCCCAGUUAGUUCAUGGUUGGUGUUUCACACGUGGCAGCUUCUUACUUGAUGGUCCCAUGACCAACACUAUUGUGUUGGUUGGCAAAUUUGAAUCCAAAUUGGGAUCAGCAACAAGUAUGAUACUAGUGGUCUAUCUACUUACUUGUGCAGACUCAACCCAGCUACCUGCAUUCUGCUUUUGAACACCUUUCUCUUUCAUUGUCUUCCUUAACUUGAGCACACUAUUCCAAACUCCUCUUUCCCCAUGAAUUCUUGAAAGCGUUGAAAAUAUUGCAGGAUGGUCACUUUCCAGUUUAUCAAGUUCCUUUGCAGCAAACUUACCAAGUUCCAAACUUGAAUGCAAACCACAAGCACCAAGUAACGCACACCAAACAAC
Molecule: long non-coding RNA, 1607 nt
Filed under: Fragaria vesca (wild strawberry)
Lineage: Eukaryota; Viridiplantae; Streptophyta; Magnoliopsida; Rosales; Rosaceae
Description: long non-coding RNA (FVES_LNC000396)
Source: RNAcentral